UUCUUCACCUCAUUGAGCAGUCUGCGCUGUGCUCUUGCAGUCAUCUUUACAGGACGGCCACUCCUAGGGAGAGUAACAGCAGUGCUGAACUUUCAUUUAUAGACAAUUUGUCUUACCGUGGACUGAUGAACAGCAAGGCUUUUGGAGAUACUUUUAUAACCCUUUCCAGCUUUAUGCAAGCUUUAUGCAAGUCAACAAUUCUUAAUCGUAGGUCUUCUGAGAGCUCCUUUGUGUGAGGCAUCAUUCACAUCAGGCAAUGCUUCUUGUGAAAAGCAAACCCAGAACUGGUGUGUGUUUUUUAUUAGGCAGGGCAGCUGUAACCAAUACCUCCAAUCUCAUCUCAUU
Molecule: non-coding RNA, 345 nt
Organism: Pelobates cultripes (western spadefoot toad)
Lineage: Eukaryota; Metazoa; Chordata; Amphibia; Anura; Pelobatidae
Source: the annotation of a GenBank genome assembly